This 535-nucleotide ribosomal RNA is filed under the name uncultured bacterium. Its description in RNAcentral is "bacterial SSU rRNA". It matches the Rfam family "Bacterial small subunit ribosomal RNA", at positions 772 to 1304 of the family's 1533-position model. The record is from RNAcentral.
ACUAAAUAGAUACCCCGGUAGUCCACGCCCUAAACGAUGUCUACUAGUUGUUGGUGGAGUAAAAUCCAUGAGUAAACGCAGCUAAACGCGUGAAGUAGACCGCCUGGGGAGUACGGUCGCAAGAUUAAAACUCGAAGGAAUUGACGGGGGCCCGCACAAGCGGUGGAUUAUGUGGAUUAAUUCGAUGCAACGCGAAAAACCUUACCUGGCCUUGACAUGCCACUAACGAAGCAGAGAUGCAUUAGGUGCCCGUAAGGGAAAGUGGACACAGGUGCUGCAUGGCUGUCGUCAGCUCGUGUCGUGAGAUGUUGGGUUAAGUCCCGCAACGAGCGCAACCCUUGCCAUUAAUUGCCAUCAUUUAGUUGGGCACUUUAAUGGGACUGCCGGUGACAAACCGGAGGAAGGUGGGGAUGACGUCAAGUCCUCAUGGCCCUUAUGGCCAGGGCUUCACACGUAAUACAAUGGUCGGUACAGAGAGUUGCCAACCCGCGAGGGGAGCUAAUCUCAGAAAGCCGAUCGUAGUCCGGAUUGUUCU